This 351-nucleotide unclassified non-coding RNA is filed under the name soil metagenome. RNAcentral's name for it is "partial contains 5.8S ribosomal RNA, internal transcribed spacer 2, and large subunit ribosomal RNA". The stretch from base 1 to 120 matches the Rfam family "5.8S ribosomal RNA", at positions 35 to 154 of the family's 154-position model. The record is from RNAcentral.
GAUGAAGAACGCAGCGAAAUGCGAUAAGUAAUGCGAAUUGCAGAAUCCGUGAGUCAUCGAAUCUUUGAACGCACAUUGCGCCCCUUGGUUAUUCCGAAGGGCAUGCCUGUUCGAGCGUCAUUAUCACCCCUCAAGCCCUGGCUUGGUGUUGGACUUUAGUUAUAGCUUUGCCUAUCAACUGGUCUCAAAGAUAGUGACGGCGCCCCAGAGGGAACCGGGUACGAGGAGCUUCUAGUUAAAGCAUGUACGCGGGACGACUCUGCGGGCGACGGUCUUUUUCAUUUCUCCAAGUGUUGACCUCGGAUCAGGUAGGAAUACCCGCUGAACUUAAGCAUAUCAAUAAGCGGAGGA